ACCCUUUCACUGGGGUCACCUAAGACCAUCAGAAAACACAGAUAUUUACAUUACGAUUCAUAACAAUAGCAAAAUUACAGAUAUGAAGUAGCAAUGAAAAUAAUUUUAUGGUUGGGGGUUACCACAAAAUGAACUGUAUUAAAGGGUCACAGCAUUAGGAAGAUUGAAAACCACUGUUCUAAAGGAACUGCUAGUAGGAAACAUUUUAUA
This is a long non-coding RNA of Pipistrellus kuhlii (Kuhl's pipistrelle), 210 nucleotides long. RefSeq lists it as uncharacterized. The record is from RefSeq and is a predicted model, not a curated record. The transcript has 3 exons. NCBI's taxonomy places the organism in Eukaryota, Metazoa, Chordata, Mammalia, Chiroptera, Vespertilionidae.